CCGGAGUACCUAGGAUGGUGGUUGUCGUGGAGCACGCGGUGGUAGCGCAUGCCUCCGGUGCCAUCGCGGCCUUCGAGGUACUUUCGAUUCUUCUUGAAGCAGGUCAUCGUCGCCGCUGCCAUUGCCUUCACUGCCCCAUGAAUUCUAUCCCAUCCUUUUCCCCCCAGGGUUGGGGUUUCAGAGAUGGAGCAGAAUGAGGUGGGGGGCGAGAGCUGAGAGGCUAAUCACACGUACUGAAAAAUGCU
This 245-nucleotide long non-coding RNA is filed under the name Elaeis guineensis (African oil palm). RNAcentral describes it as "long non-coding RNA (EGUI_LNC044677)". The record is from RNAcentral. Lineage: Eukaryota; Viridiplantae; Streptophyta; Magnoliopsida; Arecales; Arecaceae.